Non-coding RNA from Macaca mulatta (Rhesus monkey), 2829 nucleotides. Lineage: Eukaryota; Metazoa; Chordata; Mammalia; Primates; Cercopithecidae. The record is from RefSeq and is a predicted model, not a curated record.
GUUCAUAAAUCAUUUCUAAAGAUGCUUCUCUAUAACAAUCUAUGUCUCCAUAAGAUUUUAAACUCCUCAAGGAAAGGGACUCUUUCUUCUAUUUCUGUUGAAAUUCCCUUAGUCUACUUGUUCUCAAUGGGGACAAAUUUACUCCUUAGGGACAUUUAACAAUGUUUGGAGAUAUUCUUGGUUGUCACAGCUGGGGAGGGAGGUGCUUCUGAAAUCUAGUGAACAGAGGCCAGGGAUAAUGCUAAACAUUCUACAACGCACAAGAUGGCCCCCUACAAAAAGGGGGGUUUUCCUGCUCAAAGUGUCUAUAAUGGCAAACUUGAGAGAUUCUGCCUUAGUCUCUAGGCCAACACCAUGAACAUACAAUAGACACUGAACAAAUAAUUUUGUCUUUCAGUCAAAGAGAAUUAUCCUCAUAGAAGGGAUGCUGUUGGAUACGGAGCUGUCAGGGGAAUGAAGAAAAGCAAGUGAGCACUCAUGCAAAACAAAAGCUAAGUCAGAGAAGAGAAUCUAAUUUUCCUUAGUCAAGAGGGAGAGUAGGGAGUAUUGUAAAGAAGAAAAUGUUGGAUGGAUGAAAGCUGAGAGCUGAGAAGUUAUUUACUUUGUAGGAGGUGUUGACUUAAAUGGCUCAUCUUUUAGAUAUCUCUAGGGGAAUAUCUCGUGAUUGUGGUAAACAGUGGUAAUAACAUUGGAAUACAUGAAGGAAAGUUCUGGGAAUGAUAAUUUAUGUUGUCAAGAAGACCUGUGUUUAGAAGAUCCUUAUUCUUACCUCCCUUUGAAAUAAAGUCUGGGUGAUGAAAAGUGUCUUUAAUUUACAAAUGAGGCAAGGAAAUUGGUUGGAAGAGCUCUGAACACUGACCCCUCCAAAAGACUCUUUUUCCAGUUCCCUACUCAGGAUUUUUGGGGAUGGGGAUGAUGGAUGACUAAUUGCUUUCAGUGACUACUCCCAGCCUCUGCCUUGGCUGUGCUUCCAAUGUUCUUCCUCAUCAUGUCAUGUCUGUCUUUCUCCUUAAGUUACAACAUGCAAGAAAACCAAUUAAUUAUUUCUUUGUCCCCCAUCCCCUCUCCUCUUCAUCAUUUAAUAAAUAUAAUAAGAAAUAUCCUAGGCAUAAAAAAUAGCUCCUGAAAACGUUGGGAUUGGAGGGAAAAUCCACGACCUAGAAAUUCUCUUAAGAUGGAUAUCAUUAUUCUCAACCUCUCAGAACACUUGGCAGGAGAUUCCAUUAUUAGUUCUCCUUGCUACCAGAGGUAUUUGGCAAGGUUUUUGUUUAGAUUUCUUUUGGGGAAGACAUGCUUAAAUUAAACAUUGAAAUUCAUGAGAAUAUUUCAGUUCCUUGUAAACUUUUCUAAUCACACUUCAAGCGAGGUAUUAUUUGUGGCUUCUCAAUGAGGAAAAGUUCUCCCGAGGGGGACUUCCAACAGUUCAUUUCAGCAGAUCUCUGAGUCGAUGGUCAAAUGCAGUGCAUCAUAUAACAGGCUGAAAUAGGUAUACAAGCAUUACUCAAAACAGUUUUUAAUGGCUUGGAUUCUUCUCUGUUGCACAGGAUUAUAGAUUGGAUCAUAGAAAAAUGAGUUAUUCUCAGUCAGUGAUAUCUGGAUUCCUUUUUCAGUUUUUCCAGUAACAGAAAAGUAAAAGAAUUGAACCACCUCUUUUUUGUAUUUUCUUUUUUUUUUUUUUCACUUUCCUGUAAAGGUUUUUUGGGAAAAUAUUCUGGGGCAAGGACUGAGUGACUGUGGUAUAACCAGUGUACAGCUCUAUGUAUAACAGAAAUGUGAUGAAUAAGGGGGGCUCAUUUGCUGCCACUGUAUUUUUUGGCAGAUGAAUGCAUGACAUCUCUUGGUAAAAUGGCCCAGAAGAAACACAGGAAGGAGUUAUGAAAAGAUAACACCCCACCUCUCCUUCAAAGACCCGGGAAACAAACACUGAGAAUGAAGCCAGCCUGCUGCUUCCUGACCCUGGACGGAUCCUUCCAUAUUCCAAUAUCACAGUCAUGUCUGCAAACAUCCCUUCUAUUAAAGCAGUAUGCAGAUGUAGGUCAGAAGACAGAGCAGCGGAUGUGUAGAACAAAGGCACAGAUGCAAUGAACCUCGUGGACAGUUGCCUUAAAACAAAGGUACUGGGUCUUGGGAAUAUUUCUACAUCAGUACAGAAAAGGUUACCGCAUGCCUUUAGAGCAAAGGCUCUCUAAGUGUGGUGACCAGGCCAACUACACCAGCAUCGUCAGGGAACUUGUUGGAGAUGCACAUUCUUAAGCCCCAUUCCAGACCAGUUGAAUCAGAAGCUGGUGUGAGGCUUGUUGGUGAUCCCAGUGUAAACACAAGGCUCCUUAAAUGAAGAAGCGGGCGGCAGAAGAGCUAGAAUCAGAGAACUGUCAUCAGGAGGAAGACUCAGCUGGCCAUUGCUAGCUCUGAAGAUGAAGGAAGGAGACUCAAACCAAGGAAUGUGGGCAACGUCUAGAUGCUGGAAGAAGUAAGAAAACAGAUAUUUCUCUAGAGCCUCCAGAAAGGAAUGCAGUCCUGCUGGCACCUUCAUUCUAGCUAAGUGAGAUCCAUUUUGGACUUCUGACCUCCAGAACUGUAAGAUAAUAAGUAUAUGUUGUUUUAAGCCAUUUAGUUUGUGGUAGCUUGUCAGAGUGGCGAUAGAAAACUAAUACAGCUAUCGAGUCCAGGUUUCAAAUGCUUAAAACUCCCAGGUUUUAGAGCGAAUGUUAGAUCCUGAAUCUCAGAUGAGUAUACUCAUGAAAAUAAGUUUAGCCUUAUCAAGCCUUAUAGUCAGGGCUAUGCUAGUGUUUAACAAGCAGGUCUCCAGGGGGGAAAAAAAAGAAUAAA